This 279-nucleotide ribosomal RNA is filed under the name uncultured bacterium. RNAcentral describes it as "partial 16S ribosomal RNA". It matches the Rfam family "Bacterial small subunit ribosomal RNA", at positions 506 to 784 of the family's 1533-position model. The record is from RNAcentral.
UGCCAGCCGCCGCGGUAAUACGAAGGGUGCUAGCGUUGUUCGGAAUUACUGGGCGUAAAGAGCAUGUAGGCGGUUUGAUAAGUCGGAUGUGAAAGCCCAGGGCCCAACCCUGGAAUUGCACUCGAUACUGUCAGACUAGAGUCCCGGAGAGGGUGGCGGAAUCCCCGGUGUAGAGGUGAAAUUCGUAGAUAUCGGGAGGAAUACCGGUGGCGAAGGCGACCACCUGGCCAGAUACUGACGCUGAGGUGCGAAAGCGUGGGGAGCAAACAGGAUUAGAUA